This 2720-nucleotide ribosomal RNA is filed under the name Escherichia coli. Its description in RNAcentral is "bacterial LSU rRNA". It matches the Rfam family "Bacterial large subunit ribosomal RNA". Lineage: Bacteria; Pseudomonadati; Pseudomonadota; Gammaproteobacteria; Enterobacterales; Enterobacteriaceae. The record is from RNAcentral.
GGGUUGUGAGGUUAAGCGACUAAGCGUACACGGUGGAUGCCCUGGCAGUCAGAGGCGAUGAAGGACGUGCUAAUCUGCGAUAAGCGUCGGUAAGGUGAUAUGAACCGUUAUAACCGGCGAUUUCCGAAUGGGGAAACCCAGUGUGUUUCGACACACUAUCAUUAACUGAAUCCAUAGGUUAAUGAGGCGAACCGGGGGAACUGAAACAUCUAAGUACCCCGAGGAAAAGAAAUCAACCGAGAUUCCCCCAGUAGCGGCGAGCGAACGGGGAGCAGCCCAGAGCCUGAAUCAGUGUGUGUGUUAGUGGAAGCGUCUGGAAAGGCGCGCGAUACAGGGUGACAGCCCCGUACACAAAAAUGCACAUACUGUGAGCUCGAUGAGUAGGGCGGGACACGUGGUAUCCUGUCUGAAUAUGGGGGGACCAUCCUCCAAGGCUAAAUACUCCUGACUGACCGAUAGUGAACCAGUACCGUGAGGGAAAGGCGAAAAGAACCCCGGCGAGGGGAGUGAAAAAGAACCUGAAACCGUGUACGUACAAGCAGUGGGAGCCUCUUAAUGGGGUGACUGCGUACCUUUUGUAUAAUGGGUCAGCGACUUAUAUUCUGUAGCAAGGUUAACCGAAUAGGGGAGCCGAAGGGAAACCGAGUCUUAACUGGGCGUUAAGUUGCAGGGUAUAGACCCGAAACCCGGUGAUCUAGCCAUGGGCAGGUUGAAGGUUGGGUAACACUAACUGGAGGACCGAACCGACUAAUGUUGAAAAAUUAGCGGAUGACUUGUGGCUGGGGGUGAAAGGCCAAUCAAACCGGGAGAUAGCUGGUUCUCCCCGAAAGCUAUUUAGGUAGCGCCUCGUGAAUUCAUCUCCGGGGGUAGAGCACUGUUUCGGCAAGGGGGUCAUCCCGACUUACCAACCCGAUGCAAACUGCGAAUACCGGAGAAUGUUAUCACGGGAGACACACGGCGGGUGCUAACGUCCGUCGUGAAGAGGGAAACAACCCAGACCGCCAGCUAAGGUCCCAAAGUCAUGGUUAAGUGGGAAACGAUGUGGGAAGGCCCAGACAGCCAGGAUGUUGGCUUAGAAGCAGCCAUCAUUUAAAGAAAGCGUAAUAGCUCACUGGUCGAGUCGGCCUGCGCGGAAGAUGUAACGGGGCUAAACCAUGCACCGAAGCUGCGGCAGCGACACUAUGUGUUGUUGGGUAGGGGAGCGUUCUGUAAGCCUGUGAAGGUGUACUGUGAGGUAUGCUGGAGGUAUCAGAAGUGCGAAUGCUGACAUAAGUAACGAUAAAGCGGGUGAAAAGCCCGCUCGCCGGAAGACCAAGGGUUCCUGUCCAACGUUAAUCGGGGCAGGGUGAGUCGACCCCUAAGGCGAGGCCGAAAGGCGUAGUCGAUGGGAAACAGGUUAAUAUUCCUGUACUUGGUGUUACUGCGAAGGGGGGACGGAGAAGGCUAUGUUGGCCGGGCGACGGUUGUCCCGGUUUAAGCGUGUAGGCUGGUUUUCCAGGCAAAUCCGGAAAAUCAAGGCUGAGGCGUGAUGACGAGGCACUACGGUGCUGAAGCAACAAAUGCCCUGCUUCCAGGAAAAGCCUCUAAGCAUCAGGUAACAUCAAAUCGUACCCCAAACCGACACAGGUGGUCAGGUAGAGAAUACCAAGGCGCUUGAGAGAACUCGGGUGAAGGAACUAGGCAAAAUGGUGCCGUAACUUCGGGAGAAGGCACGCUGAUAUGUAGGUGAAGUCCCUUGCGGAUGGAGCUGAAAUCAGUCGAAGAUACCAGCUGGCUGCAACUGUUUAUUAAAAACACAGCACUGUGCAAACACGAAAGUGGACGUAUACGGUGUGACGCCUGCCCGGUGCCGGAAGGUUAAUUGAUGGGGUUAGCGGUAACGCGAAGCUCUUGAUCGAAGCCCCGGUAAACGGCGGCCGUAACUAUAACGGUCCUAAGGUAGCGAAAUUCCUUGUCGGGUAAGUUCCGACCUGCACGAAUGGCGUAAUGAUGGCCAGGCUGUCUCCACCCGAGACUCAGUGAAAUUGAACUCGCUGUGAAGAUGCAGUGUACCCGCGGCAAGACGGAAAGACCCCGUGAACCUUUACUAUAGCUUGACACUGAACAUUGAGCCUUGAUGUGUAGGAUAGGUGGGAGGCUUUGAAGUGUGGACGCCAGUCUGCAUGGAGCCGGCCUUGAAAUACCACCCUUUAAUGUUUGAUGUUCUAACGUUGGCCCCUGAUCGGGGUUGCGGACAGUGUCUGGUGGGUAGUUUGACUGGGGCGGUCUCCUCCUAAAGAGUAACGGAGGAGCACGAAGGUUGGCUAAUCCUGGUCGGACAUCAGGAGGUUAGUGCAAUGGCAUAAGCCAGCUUGACUGCGAGCGUGACGGCGCGAGCAGGUGCGAAAGCAGGUCAUAGUGAUCCGGUGGUUCUGAAUGGAAGGGCCAUCGCUCAACGGAUAAAAGGUACUCCGGGGAUAACAGGCUGAUACCGCCCAAGAGUUCAUAUCGACGGCGGUGUUUGGCACCUCGAUGUCGGCUCAUCACAUCCUGGGGCUGAAGUAGGUCCCAAGGGUAUGGCUGUUCGCCAUUUAAAGUGGUACGCGAGCUGGGUUUAGAACGUCGUGAGACAGUUCGGUCCCUAUCUGCCGUGGGCGCUGGAGAACUGAGGGGGGCUGCUCCUAGUACGAGAGGACCGGAGUGGACGCAUCACUGGUGUUCGGGUUGUCAUGCCAAUGGCA